CACCUUUGAAGUUGGUUCGCAACCCGCCAUAAAACCAAAAGAAGAAGAAGAAUAUUUUCAUUCUUCAUUCAGUCCGCGCGCGUUUGUUGUGUCUUCUGAGAUCUGCUCCUCCUCCAGUGAAGCUCCUCCCACAACAAGCACACCUUCAGUGAAGCUCCUCCCACAACAAGCACAUCUUCAGUGAAGCUCCUCCCACAACAAGCACACCUUCAGUGAAGCUCCUCCCACUGCAGUUCAGCAAUAAAUGCUGGAAUAUUCCCAUCAGUCUACAAGUGAAGACGAGCAUCAGAGCAUCAGGAAGAAGUGAAAUCUGCAGAGACAGAGUUUAUUGAAGGACAGAGAGAACAUGAGAGAUCCAGAACCCUGCAGAAUGAAACACACUGAAGAACAAACAGACAAGGCUUAAAUUACUGAAAAGAAGAAAAGACAAGAAAAGGUUCACCUGCACUCAGUGUGGAAAGAGUUUCACAUACAAACAGCAUCUCAGUGCUCACAUGAGGAUCCACACUGGAGAGAAACCAUUCACAUGUGAUCAGUGCGAGAAGAGUUUCACACAACAAGGACACCUUCAGAGACACAUGAGGAUCCACACUAGAGAGAAACUGCAUGAAUGUGAUCAAUGCGAUCUGCUCCUCCUCCAGUGAAGCUCCUCCCACAACAAGCACACCUUCAGUGAAGCACCUCCCACAACAAGCACAUCUUCAGUGAAGCUCCUCCCACAAUAAGCACACCUUCAGUGAAGCUCCUCCCACAACAAGCACACCUUCAGUGAAGCUCCUCCCACUGCAGUUCAGCAAUAAAUGCUGGAAUAUUCCCAUCAGUCUACAAGUGAAGACGAGCAUCAGAGCAUCAGGAAGAAGUGAAAUCUGCAGAGACAGAGUUUAUUGAAGGACAGAGAGAACAUGAGAGAUCCAGAACCCUGCAGAAUGAAACACACUGAAGAACAAACAGACAAGGCUUAAAUUACUGAAAAGAAGAAAAGACAAGAAAAGGUUCACCUGCACUCAGUGUGGAAAGAGUUUCACAUACAAACAGCAUCUCAAUGUUCACAUGAGGAUCCACACUGGAGAGAAACCAUUCACAUGUGAUCAGUGCGAGAAGAGUUUCACACAACAAGGACACCUUCAGAGACACAUGAGGAUCCACACUAGAGAGAAACUGCAUGAAUGUGAUCAAUGCGGUAAAACAUUUUUGAGGGCUUCAGUCCUGAAGGAGCACAUGAACAUUCAUACGAAGGAGAAACCACAUUCAUGUUCUUUGUGUGGAAAGAGUUUUUCACAUCUGCAGAGUUUAAAAGUUCAUCAGAAGAUACACACCGGUGUGAGAUCAUAUGUGCUUUGAGUGCG
Long non-coding RNA from Onychostoma macrolepis, 1346 nucleotides. RefSeq lists it as uncharacterized. The transcript has 5 exons. Lineage: Eukaryota; Metazoa; Chordata; Actinopteri; Cypriniformes; Cyprinidae. The record is from RefSeq and is a predicted model, not a curated record.